CCUUUUGCAGUGGGACGGCGCUCGACCGCUCUGGCAAGAAGCCAUGCCGCCGCCAGCCACAGUCGCCCCCUCGGCGGCCCUCCGCCGCGAGGACCUCCUCCGAGUCGCCGCCCCGCUCCGCUCCCUGCUCUCCGCGGCGCCCUACGCGCCCCCCGAGGGCUCCGACACCUCCGUGAAAUCCCUCCUCGCCUCACUCCUCCCGUCCCCCUCUGAACCCCCGACGGGCGGGGCCGGCAAGGAGGCCGUGGACCUGCUCCUCUUCUGCGCCGCCGCCCGCGCUGCCUCCGCCGAGGCCCCCGCGCUGCACUGGGUCCCGGAGGGGCUCUCCAGGGCGGCCGCCGCCGCCAUGGAGGAGAUGGCGGCGAUGGGCGGGUGGGGUGGUGUCCCGGAGAUGUUGGUCGCCAUGAUGCCGGAGGCGUUGCCGCCGCUGAAGGCCGUGCUGAAGGACACGGGCGUGGACGCCAAUGAUGAUAUGAUGAUGAUUGGCGCCGUGAAGCCGCCCAAGGAGCACGCCUUUGUCGCCGCGCACCAGUUCCGGUGGCUGUUGUCUCAGGUUAAUUACCCGAAGCUCGGGGAUUUGUGCUGGUUAGUCAUUCCAUGUGCUUUGACGGCAUUGGAUCAUUGGCCUCUACAAAGGAGAUUGUUGCUACACAACAAACUCAAAUUGAGGCUCAACAAUCUCAACUUGAAGCUCAACAGAAGAAGAUCGAUUGGCUACAAAAUGUCGUGUCUAACUUGGUUGGCAUUUCACCUCCUAUGGACGGCACUGCUGCAACAGGGCUAGGUUUCACAACUGAGCGGCCAAUACCAUCUGACGGAAUAGGUUCGCUGAUGUCUAACACUGUACAAAGGAUGUCAAGUUUUCCAAGAUCAUUUGCAAGUCAUUUGAGGCCAGGAUAUAGACCUACUCCAACUUCUUCUGAUGGAAAUGGCUCUCUGGUGUCGGAUGGAGGGUCUAGGUAUUCAUGAUCAGUGCUACCUUCAUUUUAUGUUGGAGAUGACCUUGGAGGAGCAGCGGAAAGCAAUACUCGAGCUAAAGACCGAGAAGAGAAAACUAUUGCCUCUGCAUUUCUUGCACAUCUAGUAGACUAUGUUGGAUCUAAAGAAAAUUCAGUGUACACAUGCUAAAUGUAAUGUUUGGAUCAUAUUAGGGUUUACUGAUUGGAUCAUAUGUUCAGAUCAGUACUAAAGAUGGUACUGUACUUUGCAAAUGCUAGAGUGGUAUUUCCUACUUGCGAAACAAAAUUCAGAUUAGCAUGUAAUGUUUGGAUCUUAA
This is an RNA transcript of Triticum dicoccoides, 1276 nucleotides long. RefSeq lists it as uncharacterized. The transcript is spliced from 6 exons. The record is from RefSeq and is a predicted model, not a curated record. NCBI's taxonomy places the organism in Eukaryota, Viridiplantae, Streptophyta, Magnoliopsida, Poales, Poaceae.